RNAcentral lists this long non-coding RNA (1183 nucleotides) under Medicago truncatula (barrel medic). Its description in RNAcentral is "long non-coding RNA (MTRU_LNC001475)". The record is from RNAcentral. Lineage: Eukaryota; Viridiplantae; Streptophyta; Magnoliopsida; Fabales; Fabaceae.
AAGUUAGUAAAAUUGUAUUUAAUUAUUUUGAUUAUUAUAUUUAUUACAUGAUCUCCUUCCAAAGUGUGCUAAAGGGACUCAAAGAACACAUUGAUAUAUUUAAGAGAUAUUUGGUAAUGAUUCUAGAAUUCUGAAGGUAGAUUUUAUGUGAUUUUAUUUCAUUUUUAGAACUAUUUUACUACAAUUGCAAGUUAUUUAAUUUUAGGAACAAAUAUUUGAAAGAUUGAGUCUUGGAGCAAAAGAAAUGAAAUUUGAAGCUGAUUCGCGGCAAAAAUAUGAAGAUUCUAUGCAAAAAUAUCAGACACAGCCCGUGCCUCAACAAUUCAAAGCCAAAAAGCCAAGUCAGAGAGUUGGCACGGCCUGUGCCUCCAGUGGCACGACCGUGCCACCACCACAACACUCAUUUUGCUGCUUUUACUUCUCGGACAAGUUGCCUGUUUAAUUCUAUGUAAAGCCCAUAGUUUCUUGUGGAACAUUCUAUUGAUGUAUUUCUUGGGGUUUAAGUAGUUGUAGACUAUAAAUAGAGAAGCUAGCAAACAUAUUGAAUCAUCUUUUGUUCUCUGAAAUUAUAAGUGACAACUGUUUCUUUGAAUAAAUGUUCUCCUUUUUAUUUAUUUAUUUAUUUAUUUUCUUUUAUGUUCUUCUCAUUCUUCUCUUCUAUGUCUACAAUGAACAUGUGUGAGUAGACUCUUCUUGUCUUGGGAUUGUUGGAUGAGUCUAAUGACCUAAUCCCUAUCAAACCAAGCCUCGAACCCUAAUUUUAUGUAAAUCUAUUUUCUAAUCUAUUCACCGUUUUUAUAAUGAAUUAACAAGUAUCAAAUUCAUAAAGUGACAACAGAGGAGGGUUAGUACUUGUUUAUUCAUAAUCACAAAUAUCAAGCGAAGUACCGAAAGAAGAAGUUUUGAUAUUGAAACAAGUGAAAUCAAACAAGUAUUGCAAAACAUGAGAAUAGUCUAGCAAACCAUGAGACAAUAAAGUUUCAUUCUUCAAGGAUUUCAAUAGCAAUCAACCAUGAGAAUAAAAGUGGUUGCUGGAGAAACACACUCGCUGAGACCGAAAGGAGAUGUGAUAAGCUAAAGAGAAACUUGUCUUUAGAAAAUAGGUCCAACAUAAGAUUUUAGGUUUAGGGUUUGAUUUGUGAAGGAUUUGUUACCAUGACGAACCAAUAAUUCCAAGACGCUU